Small nucleolar RNA from Tachyglossus aculeatus (Australian echidna), 138 nucleotides. The record is from RefSeq and is a predicted model, not a curated record. NCBI's taxonomy places the organism in Eukaryota, Metazoa, Chordata, Mammalia, Monotremata, Tachyglossidae.
CCCCUCUCAGGAUCGCCUCUGGGGAAUUUCCAGUACUCUACCUGUCUCGACUACGGGAGGGAGAGUCAAGCAGAGGUAUACCCAUUCCAUUCCUAGCUUGGGCAGUGGCUAGCGAGUGGACGGCAAUCUGCUUCAAGU